GAACGCGAAGAACCUUACCAAGUCUUGACAUCCUUUGAUCACUCUAGAGAUAGAGCUUUCCCUUCGGGGACAAAGUGACAGGUGGUGCAUGGUUGUCGUCAGCUCGUGUCGUGAGAUGUUGGGUUAAGUCCCGCAACGAGCGCAACCCUUAUUACUAGUUGCCAGCAUUGAGUUGGGCACUCUAGUGAGACUGCCGGUGACAAACCGGAGGAAGGUGGGGAUGACGUCAAAUCAUCAUGCCCCUUAUGACUUGGGCUACACACGUGCUACAAUGGAUGGUACAACGAGCAGCGAACUCGCGAGGGUAAGCGAAUCUCUUAAAGCCAUUCUCAGUUCGGAUUGUAGGCUGCAACUCGCCUACAUGAAGCCGGAAUCGCUAGUAAUCGCGGAUCAGCACGCCGCGGUGAAUACGUUCCCGGGUCUUGUACACACC
This 433-nucleotide ribosomal RNA is filed under the name uncultured bacterium. RNAcentral describes it as "bacterial SSU rRNA". It matches the Rfam family "Bacterial small subunit ribosomal RNA", at positions 957 to 1391 of the family's 1533-position model. The record is from RNAcentral.